This 885-nucleotide unclassified non-coding RNA is filed under the name Hevea brasiliensis (rubber tree). Lineage: Eukaryota; Viridiplantae; Streptophyta; Magnoliopsida; Malpighiales; Euphorbiaceae. The record is from RNAcentral.
GUGGACACGCAUUAGCUUGCUAAAGUCAUUUUCCAUUGUAUCUGUCCUGGUUAUUCUAGAAUUAGAGCAAGGAAAAUGGAGCUUGUAAUUGCGAUUGCAAGUACAGUUGUUGGUGAAAUUGCUAAAAUCUUGGUGGCCCCUGUCGGCCGAUCAAUUGGUUACCUAAUUUACUACCAUUGUAACAUCAAGAAUCUGGAAGAGGAGCUUCAGAAACUGGUUGAUCAGAAGAUCACUGGGGUGGACUCACGCGUGGAUGACGUCAAAAGGAACUUGCAAGUUUUUGCUGGUUCUGUAAUUCAAUGGCAAGAGGAAGUGGAUUACAUUGAUCAGAGAGGCAAAGAAUUUCUUGAAAAUGUAAUCAAAGUAAACAACCAAUGUUUUAACGGGCGUUGUCCAGAUCCAACGUCACGUUAUUCCUUGAGCAGGAAAGUUAAGAAGAUGACACAGAAGGUGCUUGCUCUGCUCGAAGAAGCGGUGAAUUUUGGUCAAAUAGGCUAUCCUGGUCCUCCACCAAAUAUAGGAUCAACCUUCAUCACUGAAGGCAUCAGGGAUUUUGAAUCAAGGCUAUCAAUUAUGAAUGGAGUAUGGAAGGCUGUGAAGGAUGACAACUGGAGCAUGACCGGUGUUUGUGGGAUGGGUAGAGUGGAUGAGAAAGAUACAACGGCUAGUAGAUUAAACGGUGUGUAGUAGUCAGCUCUAAGUUAUUUACAGAGGAUACUUAAAAUGCUGCGUUCAGUAAAAGGAAAUUAAGAAAGCAAGCUCUCAAGUUCACAGUAAUGAACAAUGAAGAAAAUGGCGGGAGAGUUUAUUAUCAAAUGGUUACAGCUAUCACAGAUGCUUCAAGAAGUAGUUUCACAUAGAUAGCUGUACAUGUAUAGACCUUCU